UAAAACCAGCACCUCAAGUGGUCAGGAGGAUUAUUGGGCCUAAAGCAUCCGUAGCCUGCUCUGUAAGUUUUCGGUUAAAUCUAUAUGCUCAACGUAUAGGCUGCCGAAAAUACUGCAGUGCUAGGAAGUGGGAGAGGUAGACGGUACUUGAUAGGAAGGGGUAAAAUCCUUUGAUCUAUCGAUGACCACCUGUGGCGAAGGCGGUCUACCAGAACACGUUCGACGGUGAGGGAUGAAAGCUGGGGGAGCAAACCGGAUUAGAUACCCGGGUAGUCCCAGCUGUAAACGAUGCAGACUCGAUGAUGCAUUGGCAUAUAGCCAGUGCAGUGUCGCAGGGAAGCCGUUAAGUCUGCCGCCUGGGAAGUACGUACGCAAGUAUG
Molecule: ribosomal RNA, 380 nt
Filed under: uncultured crenarchaeote
Lineage: Archaea; Thermoproteati; Thermoproteota
Description: bacterial SSU rRNA
Rfam family: Archaeal small subunit ribosomal RNA
Source: RNAcentral